CGACAUCGACCGAUUAACCAUCGCGGCUAACUCGGGUCAUCGAUCUUCACUUGCAACGCUGAGUCGCCGACUGUCGUCGCUCUCCACUGUAGCUCUCUAUUCUCUCUCUCCAGUCUCCACACAAUCGUCGGUCGUCGCUCUCCACGCAAUCUUCGGCCGUCGCUCUCCAGUCCAUCGGCUCUCGCUCUCCAGUCCAUCGGCUCUCAACGCUGUCAGCAACUUGGUUGUCCUCAAUUCUCUGUCUUCCUCAGUUCUCAGUCUUUCUCAGUUCUCAGUCCUCGCCUCCUCGGUCCUCAUCAGCAACUGUAAAAGGUAAGUAAAUUUUUUUUACACUAUUCAGAAAAUUGUUGGCUGUUCAUCUUUGUGCUUGGUUGUUUAAUCUUCCUACUGUGGAAAUAGAGAGCAGCAGUACAAAUUUUGUUGCUUACUGGUGUUGUCAUUGCAU
RNAcentral lists this long non-coding RNA (445 nucleotides) under Manihot esculenta (cassava). RNAcentral describes it as "long non-coding RNA (MESC_LNC005597)". Lineage: Eukaryota; Viridiplantae; Streptophyta; Magnoliopsida; Malpighiales; Euphorbiaceae. The record is from RNAcentral.